GAUGAACGCUGGCGGCGUGCCUAAUACAUGCAAGUCGAGCGAACGGACGAGAAGCUUGCUUCUCUGAUGUUAGCGGCGGACGGGUGAGUAACACGUGGAUAACCUACCUAUAAGACUGGGAUAACUUCGGGAAACCGGAGCUAAUACCGGAUAAUAUUUUGAACCGCAUGGUUCAAAAGUGAAAGACGGUCUUGCUGUCACCUAUAGAUGGAUCCGCGCUGCAUUAGCUAGUUGGUAAGGUAACGGCUUACCAAGGCAACGAUGCAUAGCCGACCUGAGAGGGUGAUCGGCCACACUGGAACUGAGACACGGUCCAGACUCCUACGGGAGGCAGCAGUAGGGAAUCUUCCGCAAUGGGCGAAAGCCUGACGGAGCAACGCCGCGUGAGUGAUGAAGGUCUUCGGAUCGUAAAACUCUGUUAUUAGGGGAGAACAUAUGUGUAAGUAACUGUGCACAUCUUGACGGUACCUAAUCAGAAAGCCACGGCUAACUACGUG
RNAcentral lists this ribosomal RNA (497 nucleotides) under uncultured bacterium. Its description in RNAcentral is "partial 16S ribosomal RNA". It matches the Rfam family "Bacterial small subunit ribosomal RNA", at positions 28 to 507 of the family's 1533-position model. The record is from RNAcentral.